This is a long non-coding RNA of Vespula pensylvanica (western yellowjacket), 1633 nucleotides long. RefSeq lists it as uncharacterized. NCBI's taxonomy places the organism in Eukaryota, Metazoa, Arthropoda, Insecta, Hymenoptera, Vespidae. The transcript has 2 exons. The record is from RefSeq and is a predicted model, not a curated record.
AAGAAAAAGAAGAAAAGAAAAAGAAGAAGAAGAAGAAGAAGAAAAGAAAACAAAAUUUACAAACAUUACUGUCAAUGAAUAUAAUCUGAAUAACCGGCUGCCCUGACCUAGUUCCGAUCGUAACUCCUAUCUCCGGCAAAGAGAAUAAGAGACUGUGUCCUGAAGUAGUGAAAAUUGCCGCAGGGAAUCGCCGCCCUCCGAGAACCACAUGCGUAUUAACAAUAAAAGAGAGAGAGGAAGAGAGAGAGAGAGAGAGAGAGAGAGAGAGAGAGAGAGAGAGAAUCCGUAAUAUGUUACGUUGUCUUGACUAGCGUUUAUCAACUUCUGUACUAUAGUUAUAAACUUUGCGCAUUUUUGAUAGAUAAUUAGAAAAAAAUAGAGAAACAAAUUUGAAAAUUAAUCAAACGUUCGUAUAUUUUUAUAACAGUAAAUAAACAAUCGCACAAAAGAAAAGUUUUAAAUAUUAAUGGUGGUAUGAUAUCACGCGUUGCAUCAAACGAAUGAAUUAUUAGUGAUGAAUAUUUAAUAAACAAUGCAGGAAAGUCUUAUUUUGUAAUCAAUAUGUAGAAUCGAUAAGCUUCGGGAUCGAAAGUUCAUGAUCUAACUAGUUUCAGUAGAGAUGGUCAACGACUCUGAUCACUGAACAGCGAGACUGCGUCUAUUUCUACCUGAUAGCGAUGGCGGAUAUUGUAUUAUGUUACGACGAGACAGAGGAGGUUGCGUAGCCAAUGAUGCGAGAUGGUGAAGUGCGAGGUCAUCUCCACGGACUCUCCUUCAACGAUUCAACUCGUGCACUUGUCUGCUAUAAAUGCAGACCUUGUUGAAUAAAAAGGACUGAGAAAAGAUACGCAAGGACAUACGUACGAGAGAGAAAAUUAAUUCUACUCGUAAAUGGUACUUCCGAGAAUUUCUAUUAAAUUUGCAAGAUGAUUUUCUUAUAUUUUAAUUUUCAGUAACAUCAAUUCUUCCACGAUUUACACAUAACGAUUAUUAUUCUUUCUUUUUUCUUUUUGAAUGGAUCCUCGUAAACUAUAAUUUCGACGAAAAUACAUACGAGGAUAAAACGAUACAGAUCUGAAAUAAUUUUAUCGAAAGUUAACGAGUAAGUUUCAAACGAAACAAAGAAUCCACAUUUUAGUGCUUCGAUCCUUCGGAAUAAUUCUUACGUAAUAUACGAAGCCAUAUAUAAGAGGGACAACACAUAUCGAUGAGUCAAAUGCUUUUACGUAAAUGUUAAAGCCAAUUUUUGUAGUAUACUGCUCUUAUUUCACGAGUAUGUAGAUAUUCAACAUUCUUUUUAUUUAUUAAAAUAAUUCCAACGUGACAGAUCAUAAACCGUGACUCGUUUUAACUUUAUUGCUUUCCAAAUAUAUGACUUAUUAGAUAAGAACAUGACUUAUUGAUCAUAAACACAAAACAUAAACGUGAUAAGUACGAAAAAGUAAAAACAUUUUGUAGGCUUCGUUAUAAAGAUUAUGAUAUUAAAUAUGGUAUUAUUCAAAUAACACGGACGUCACAACAACACAACAACAAUCGAUUACUCACGCAUUAAUGUAAAGAAGUAUCCAAUAAAGAAAAGCCGCUUGAUUUAAUUAUAUAAUAUGUAACAGAAUAAAUUUUAUUAAGGAGUUUA